Sapajus apella (tufted capuchin) is the source of this 959-nucleotide long non-coding RNA. RefSeq lists it as uncharacterized. The record is from RefSeq and is a predicted model, not a curated record. The transcript is spliced from 2 exons. Lineage: Eukaryota; Metazoa; Chordata; Mammalia; Primates; Cebidae.
AUGUGCUCUUUAUUUGCAGAGGAAAUGGAGAGGGACCGCAUUUGCAUGAGAUGUUACAGGAGACCCACCUCCACAUUGCUGUUCAAAUUCUUCUCCAAGGGAUUUGAAAUCAACUACAUUGGGAUGUCUGAAAACACUUCCUCCUAUUAAAGGCAAAUGAUUAACCUAGAAAAAGCAGCACAUAAGGGGAGGCUUGGCUUGCUCACUUGCUCACUUGUUUGCAUGAAAUCAGAACUUAACGUCCAGGCAGGGAAGGAGUUUCGCCUGGUGACCUGCUGCUGUCCGGUUGUUUGCUGAAAUGACUUGAUUUUCAGUCACGUCUCUUGAAUGAGAUAAAGCAGAAGAACGAACUAGAUUAACUGCAUCUUGAGAGCUGGCCAGGAGUAAGAAGGGUGUUUGGAAGGAAGAGAAGGUGGGAAAUGAAGAGGCGGCAAGAGAUUCACUCAGGCAAUCAGGCAAACAAAUCAUCCAUCUUCCUGGCUCAGGUCAGGAAUACUCAAAAAGCCCUGUGUCCUGCACAGCAGCCCUGAGCAGGUUCAGUGCAGCAGAUGCUCUCUGGCUGAGUUAGAGAAACAGAUAAAACUCUCAUUUCUCUCUGAGCAGUAAGUACAGAAGAUGAGGCUGUGACAGUUUCAUUAGGAAUAAUAGAGAGAAAUUGUGUACAAUCAUCUCUGAUGGGUUGCCAGUUUUCUGACAAUGGGCUCAGCAAUUAGUUUGUCAAUUUUUAACCAAAUGCAAAAAUAAUAAUAACCCCCUGCACGAGCUUUUGAUCUGCCCUGCCACCUUUCACCUGAUGCCCCCAAGACCCCGAAGUACCCCCACUUGGCCUUUCAACAUUUGCCACACCCACUUUUGACCAAGGAAUUCAACCACCUCCUACAAGGGCUCUCAGAAGAUCCAGUGGAAAAAUCCUGGCUAUUCACCCUUUCCUCUCCUGGUCUCCCAAACCUUCCAAAAAA